This 495-nucleotide ribosomal RNA is filed under the name uncultured bacterium. Its description in RNAcentral is "partial 16S ribosomal RNA". It matches the Rfam family "Bacterial small subunit ribosomal RNA", at positions 30 to 507 of the family's 1533-position model. The record is from RNAcentral.
UGAACGCUGGCGGCGUGCCUAAUACAUGCAAGUCGAGCGAACAGACGAGGAGCUUGCUCCUCUGCCGUUAGCGGCGGACGGGUGAGUAACACGUGGAUAACCUACCUAUAAGACUGGGAUAACUUCUGGAAACCGGAGCUAAUACCGGAUAAUAUAUUGAACCGCAUGGUUCAAUAGUGAAAGACGGUUUUGCUGUCACUUAUAGAUGGAUCCGCGCCGCAUUAGCUAGUUGGUAAGGUAACGGCUUACCAAGGCAACGAUGCGUAUCCGACCUGAGAGGGUGAUCGGCCACACUGGAACUGAGACACGGUCCAGAAUACUACGGGAGGCAGCAGUAGGGAAUCUUCCGCAAUGGGCGAAAGCCUGACGGAGCAACGCCGCGUGAGUGAUGAAGGUCUUCGGAUCGUAAAACUCUGUUAUUAGGGAAGAACAAAUGUGUAAGUAACUAUGCACGUCUUGACGGUACCUAAUCAGAAAGCCACGGCUAACUACGUG